RNAcentral lists this long non-coding RNA (642 nucleotides) under Theobroma cacao (cacao). RNAcentral's name for it is "long non-coding RNA (TCAC_LNC000270)". Lineage: Eukaryota; Viridiplantae; Streptophyta; Magnoliopsida; Malvales; Malvaceae. The record is from RNAcentral.
UCCCUCUAUGGAAUAAUAGUGUAUUGAUCUUCAAAGGGUAUAUCUUUCAUUUCAAUUCAUAAAAGAUAAAGAAUCAUUUUUGAAAUGCUACCAGAGAUUCCUUACUAAGGAAAUACUAAGACAAACAGCAUUAUUAUGCCAUUGAUGUAAAAGAAAAAGCAUAGCUGUCAUUUCUUACUAUAUUUAUACUCAAUAAGGAGGGUUACAUCUGUGGAAUUCAUGGUCAAUUUUGUUUUAGUUAUACACUACAUGAACUUUGUGUACAGUCACUCACUUGACAUAGUCCACUUACCAUGGGGACCCUGCACUCUAAAUUUACAAAGAUUUUGUGUUAACACUAAUAAUCAUGUCUUCGUUGUUUUUAUAGGAGAAAAACAAGACUCCUUGUUCCUGUCCUUUCAGGAACUCAAACAUGGAAAUUUACUGGAAGAAUAACAGCAUAAAGCCAUUAUGACCAGAAGAUAGCUAAACAAGCAUGCAACAAUCACUUGCCCUUGGUUUAUUAAAUUAUAAACAGUCAAAUUGAAAUGUUACACACCUUAGAAGAUGAAGCCAAAGGAGGUACAGAGCUCUGUUGAACAGGCUCCUUUAGCUGCUGAAAUUCUCGAAGCUGGUUUACCAUCUCCUCAAUGAGUUUUAACU